This 120-nucleotide small nuclear RNA is filed under the name Myotis davidii. Its description in RNAcentral is "U2 spliceosomal RNA". It matches the Rfam family "U2 spliceosomal RNA". From Rfam's summary of the family: U2 is a small nuclear RNA (snRNA) component of the spliceosome (involved in pre-mRNA splicing). Complementary binding between U2 snRNA (in an area lying towards the 5' end but 3' to hairpin I) and the branchpoint sequence (BPS) of the intron results the bulging out of an unpaired adenosine, on the BPS, which initiates a nucleophilic attack at the intronic 5' splice site, thus starting the first of two transesterification reactions that mediate splicing. Lineage: Eukaryota; Metazoa; Chordata; Mammalia; Chiroptera; Vespertilionidae. The record is from Rfam by way of RNAcentral.
AUCGCUUCUCAGCCUUUUGGCUAAGAUUAAGUGCAUAUCUGUUCUUAUCAUUUUAAUAUCUGAUACAUAUAGCCCCAUAGCUCUGCCAUGGCCUGGCCUGGCGGCGCCUCCUCACCUACU